Molecule: long non-coding RNA, 429 nt
Filed under: Coturnix japonica (Japanese quail)
Lineage: Eukaryota; Metazoa; Chordata; Aves; Galliformes; Phasianidae
Description: lncRNA (ENSCJPG00005020177.1)
Source: RNAcentral
GGCUGGCACCGUGCUCCAUUGUGCACAGCAGCUUUAUGAAACUGCUGUGCCUGUUGGUGAGCUCCUGCCCUCUGGGCUGGGAAGAUUGUUCUUCCUGCAAUUAGUAUUCAUGGUCAGCUGAGCAGAACUUAUACAACAGCUCUUCUCUGCUUUGAAGGUUAUGUUACACGGUUUCAAAGUGGCCAGAGGAGAUUCCUAUAUGAAGAAGAUAUCUGGCAAUAUCCAUUGUCUUCUUGUGUAUUUAAUGCUUGCGUUUCAGGUUGUAUUCCAAUGAUCUUUAUUGUCAUGAAGUUUCCAUUUCGAGUGAUGUUUGUCAAGUCAGCUCUGAGCAGGAUUUCCUACAAGAAAGGUAAGGACAGAAAAAAUACUCUGAAUGAUGAUGCCUGGGCUAGCAUUGCGUAAAUGCUUUCUUUGCUGAAAGUGCCUCCA